GACGAACGCUGGCGGCGUGCUUAACACAUGCAAGUCGAACGGUGAACGAGGGAGCUUGCUCCCUCCGGAUCAGUGGCGAACGGGUGAGUAACACGUGAGCAAUCUGCCCCGAACUCUGGGAUAAGCGUUGGAAACGACGUCUAAUACCGGAUACGACGCGGGAGGGCAUCCUCUCCGCGUGGAAAGAACUUCGGUUCGGGAUGAGCUCGCGGCCUAUCAGCUUGUUGGUGAGGUAACGGCUCACCAAGGCGACGACGGGUAGCCGGCCUGAGAGGGUGACCGGCCACACUGGGACUGAGACACGGCCCAGACUCCUACGGGAGGCAGCAGUGGGGAAUAUUGCACAAUGGGCGCAAGCCUGAUGCGGCAACGCCGCGUGAGGGACGACGGCCUUCGGGUUGUAAACCUCUUUUAGCAGGGAAGAAGCGAAAGUGACGGGACCUGCAGAAAAAGCACCGGCUAACUACGU
This 469-nucleotide ribosomal RNA is filed under the name uncultured bacterium. RNAcentral describes it as "partial 16S ribosomal RNA". It matches the Rfam family "Bacterial small subunit ribosomal RNA", at positions 28 to 506 of the family's 1533-position model. The record is from RNAcentral.